RNAcentral lists this ribosomal RNA (460 nucleotides) under uncultured bacterium. RNAcentral describes it as "partial 16S ribosomal RNA". It matches the Rfam family "Bacterial small subunit ribosomal RNA", at positions 338 to 795 of the family's 1533-position model. The record is from RNAcentral.
CCUACGGGUGGCAGCAGUGAGGAAUAUUGGUCAAUGGCCGGAAGGCUGAACCAGCCAAGCCGCGUGAAGGACGAAGGUGCCAAGCAUUGUAAACUUCUUUUGUCAAGGGACAAAAUCAGGCUCGAGAGCCUGACCGAGGGUACUUGAAGAAAAAGCAUCGGCUAACUCCGUGCCAGCAGCCGCGGUAAUACGGAGGAUGCGAGCGUUAUCCGGAUUUAUUGGGUUUAAAGGGAGCGUAGACGGCUGUGCAAGUCUGAAGUGAAAGCCCAGGGCUCAACCCUGGGACUGCUUUGGAAACUGUGGAGCUAGAGUGCUGGAGAGGUAAGUGGAAUUCCUAGUGUAGCGGUGAAAUGCGUAGAUAUUAGGAGGAACACCAGUGGCGAAGGCGGCUUACUGGACAGUAACUGACGUUGAGGCUCGAAAGCGUGGGGAGCAAACAGGAUUAGAUACCCCGGUAGUC